GCCAUGUGAUGAUAUCAAGGCUGUUGUGAUUCAGUUGGUUUGGCUAAGUCCGGGGACCUCUGGCUUAUCCAGGUCUGUAAUCUUGGUGGUCGAUACAGAGUGAUGUGCGAUCGCUGUAAGGGCGGACCAACAGAAAUUUUCCUGCUUUUGAACCACCUCCCCAAGUAGGGGUGAUUCUCCAUUGCCUGCAAGGACUUGUCAUUGGAAUGAAAGUAGGAACAGGCUCUAUCUCAAUACAGGGGUCAGGGGUCCCAAAGGACUUAGCUGUGUCAUGGCCACUGAGAGAUGAUACACAGAUCUUUGGUAAUCUGAUGGCU
Molecule: small nucleolar RNA, 317 nt
Organism: Microtus ochrogaster (prairie vole)
Lineage: Eukaryota; Metazoa; Chordata; Mammalia; Rodentia; Cricetidae
Source: Ensembl